This is a long non-coding RNA of Triticum aestivum (bread wheat), 1078 nucleotides long. RefSeq lists it as uncharacterized. The transcript is spliced from 2 exons. The record is from RefSeq and is a predicted model, not a curated record. Lineage: Eukaryota; Viridiplantae; Streptophyta; Magnoliopsida; Poales; Poaceae.
UAGAGGCUUUGCCGAUGAGCCGUGGGUCACGACGUUUCGCCAGUUAUGAUCCGUGGAACAGGAACAUGGCUUUUCUGUUAGUGCGGCCGGAUAGAGUUAUUGUAGGUUCGUUUCCUCUCUGAAACUUGUAGAGGCGAAUCCGGGGUAGGAGACGGCGCCAGGGAUGGAUUUCUUGAUGCAGACUAUAAGCGGCUAAGCGAUGGAAUCUUUGGUUUGGCUUAACUAAUUUGGAGUAGGAUGUCUGCUAAAUAUGCUAUCUGUUGUGUAUCCGUACCAGAUCCCCUGUGCUUUAAGAGGUGGAGGACAAUGAAGCCCCCCAUGGAUCUGCCACCUUCCACGGUGGCUGCUUUGGUGGGGAAGCUGGAACAAGCGCCGGCGCCAGUCUUGAGUGUAGGCGCGCAGAUCUGGGAUGAAGAAGCCGUGGUUGGAGGAAGGAAUAACUCACACCCGGUGUCCGCGCAGUCGACCAGCAAGCCCGGGGUGGACUAAGAGUUUUCAGGCUAGCUUGGCGUCUCCCAUGGCAGCGUGUCCUCGACGAAGUGCUGCAUGCGUGGCAGCCGCGACCGUCCUCUUGCGAUGGUGCGGGGUCAGCGACGUGGCACUUGCUUGGUGCCUUUCGCGAUAGCGACGCAACCUUGCGGCAUGGUGCAGCCAUGGCAGUGGUCGCCCUCUCUCUUACGAUGGUGCGGGCGUGGUAGCGGCAGUCACCCUCUAUCUUCGGGGCAGCCAUGGAAGUGGCAGUCAUCCUCCCAGCAACGAGGGCGAGCAAUGGCGACGGCCAGCGAGCGUGUUGUUUUUUGGCCGCACAGCACGCAUUGUUGUUACUCAUAUUUGUUUCCACCUUGCUGAUGUUGGAUGGCGCAUGAACGGUGAUGUGAAUUGGACGUCCCUCUACUGUAAAUGUUUCAAUCAUAUGGUGCCAACACUGGAUCUCCUUACAGGAGAAGGUUUUGCUGAGUUUGGCCCGGAUGGUGAGUUGACAACCAUUGGAUGAACAUGUGUGACACAUGAUCAUUUACAACGAGGGCUGAAUGUAUGGCACAUGGGCAAUGAGAUAUGGUGGCACGUAUCAUCUCCA